AAUAGAUACCCAGGUAGUCCACGCCGUAAACGAUGCUAACUCGUUUUUGGGCCUUUGGGUUCAGAGACUAAGCGAAAGUGAUAAGUUAGCCACCUGGGGAGUACGUUCGCAAGAAUGAAACUCAAAGGAAUUGACGGGGGCCCGCACAAGCGGUGGAUUAUGUGGUUUAAUUCGAUGAUACGCGAGGAACCUUACCAAGGCUUAAAUGGGAAAUGACAGGCUUAGAAAUAGGCUUUUCUUCGGACAUUUUUCAAGGUGCUGCAUGGUUGUCGUCAGCUCGUGCCGUGAGGUGUUAGGUUAAGUCCUGCAACGAGCGCAACCCCUGUCACUAGUUGCCAUCAUUAAGUUGGGGACUCUAGUGAGACUGCCUACGCAAGUAGAGAGGAAGGUGGGGAUGACGUCAAAUCAUCACGGCCCUUACGCCUUGGGCCACACACGUAAUACAAUGGCCAGUACAGAGGGCAGCUACACAGCGAUGUGAUGCAAAUCUCGAAAGCUGGUCUCAGUUCGGAUUGGAGUCUGCAACUCGACUACG
Molecule: ribosomal RNA, 535 nt
Filed under: uncultured bacterium
Lineage: Bacteria
Description: bacterial SSU rRNA
Rfam family: Bacterial small subunit ribosomal RNA
Source: RNAcentral